RNAcentral lists this transfer RNA (72 nucleotides) under Clonorchis sinensis. It matches the Rfam family "tRNA". From Rfam's summary of the family: Transfer RNA (tRNA) molecules are approximately 80 nucleotides in length. Their secondary structure includes four short double-helical elements and three loops (D, anti-codon, and T loops). Further hydrogen bonds mediate the characteristic L-shaped molecular structure. tRNAs have two regions of fundamental functional importance: the anti-codon, which is responsible for specific mRNA codon recognition, and the 3' end, to which the tRNAs corresponding amino acid is attached (by aminoacyl-tRNA synthetases). tRNAs cope with the degeneracy of the genetic code in two manners: having more than one tRNA (with a specific anti-codon) for a particular amino acid; and 'wobble' base-pairing, i.e. permitting non-standard base-pairing at the 3rd anti-codon position. Lineage: Eukaryota; Metazoa; Platyhelminthes; Trematoda; Opisthorchiida; Opisthorchiidae. The record is from Rfam by way of RNAcentral.
UCCUCGGUGGUAUAGUGGUGAGUAUCUCCGCCUGUCACGUGGAAGGCCUGGGUUCGACUCCCGGCCGGGGAG